UACGUAGGGUGCGAGCGUUAUCCGGAGUUACUGGGCGUAAAGGGCGUGUAGGUGGUAGUGUAAGUCUGGCGUGAAAUUUUUCGGCUUAACCGGGAAAGGUCGUCGGAUACUGCACAACUAGAGGACGGUAGAGGCGUGUGGAAUUCCGGGUGUAGUGGUGAAAUGCGUAGAGAUCCGGAGGAACACCAGUGGCGAAGGCGACACGCUGGGCCGUACCUGACACUGAGGCGCGAUAGCAUGGGGAGCAAACAGG
RNAcentral lists this ribosomal RNA (253 nucleotides) under uncultured bacterium. RNAcentral describes it as "partial 16S ribosomal RNA". It matches the Rfam family "Bacterial small subunit ribosomal RNA", at positions 524 to 776 of the family's 1533-position model. The record is from RNAcentral.